RNAcentral lists this non-coding RNA (219 nucleotides) under Virgibacillus necropolis. RNAcentral's name for it is "T-box sequence". It matches the Rfam family "T-box leader". Rfam says of the family: Uncharged tRNA acts as the effector for transcription antitermination of genes in the T-box leader family. T-boxes are found upstream of many aminoacyl-tRNA synthetase genes and some amino acid biosynthetic genes usually in Gram-positive bacteria. Lineage: Bacteria; Bacillati; Bacillota; Bacilli; Caryophanales; Bacillaceae. The record is from RNAcentral.
UUGAACGCCUGAGAAGGAGAAGUAGAAAACCUCUAGCUUAUUUAGAGAGAAUCAUCACCUGCUGAAAGUGAUUCUAAGCGAUGUUUUCGAAAUGCACCUUUAGAGUCUGUUAUGGAAAUUAGUACAUAACAGCGGUACUCUUCCGUUAUUAGAGAUAAAGUUGGGAGCUGAUCUUUUUUGCUUCAAACAGAGUGGAACCGCGCCAUAAGCGUCUCUGUG